Molecule: ribosomal RNA, 451 nt
Filed under: uncultured bacterium
Lineage: Bacteria
Description: bacterial SSU rRNA
Rfam family: Bacterial small subunit ribosomal RNA
Source: RNAcentral
GUGAGGAAUAUUGCGCAAUGGGCGAAAGCCUGACGCAGCGACGCCGCGUGGAGGAUGAAGGUCUUCGGAUUGUAAACUCCUGUCGAGUGGGACGAAUGCCGUGAGGGUGAACAAUCCUUACGGUUGACGGUACCGCUGGAGGAAGCCCCGGCUAACUCCGUGCCAGCAGCCGCGGUAAUACGGAGGGGGCUAGCGUUGUUCGGAAUCAUUGGGCGUAAAGGGCGCGUAGGCGGCCGAUCAAGUCGGAGGUGAAAUCCCUCGGCUCAACUGAGGAAUUGCCUUCGAUACUGUUCGGCUUGAGUCCUGGAGAGGGUAGCGGAAUUCCCGGUGUAGCGGUGAAAUGCGUAGAGACCGGGAAGAACACCAGUGGCGAAGGCGGCUACCUGGACAGGUACUGACGCUGAAGCGCGAAAGCUAGGGGAGCAAACAGGAUUAGAAACCCUUGUAGUCC